RNAcentral lists this long non-coding RNA (1161 nucleotides) under Homo sapiens (human). Its description in RNAcentral is "HSALNT0387757". Lineage: Eukaryota; Metazoa; Chordata; Mammalia; Primates; Hominidae. The record is from RNAcentral.
UCCUGACCAGAGUCCCUGCUGUUCCUGAGACACUGCUGUGCACCUGGGGCUGGUGCCCACCUUUCCAGGGAGACCCUCUCCCAACCGGAAGUAAAAUCGCAUUGGAAAGUGGGGGUGGGUGAGGCCUCCUACUCCUGGCAGAUGGGGUGCCUCCUGAGGACUUGGCUCAAGGCUGAGAAUGGAUGGAAGUGUCCGUGAGUGAGGCUCCAGAACAACUGGGUGAGCCCAGCAGAGAUGCCAGCUCCGGCCAGGUUGUCUCUGCAGCUGAAGAAUGGGGACGCUAGCUGUGGCUCCCAAAAACCCACGAACCCAACAUGAGUGCCCGCCCCACGGACCCAACUGAGUACCUGCCCCACGGACCGAGCCUCAGCCAGGCCCAGCAGGACUUGUGAGGAUUCUUUCCAGCUGUGCUCAAGUUACUCCUCCCAACGUACAUGGGGGAGACAGAUCCGAGAGGUUAAGCAACUGGCCCAAGGGUAGGCAGUGGGUGGGUGGGUUUGAACCAGAGCCCCAGGGCUCUUCUGAGCUGAGGUGGGAGGCAGCGGCUGGUGGCCCCGUGGCUGACUCUUCCUGCUCUGACCUCAGUUUCCCCAUCUCUAGACGGGUCUCCUGAGGAGGGGGCGGGACCUAGGCCGCAUGGGUGAGCCCAGCCAGGGGAAUGGGGCCGCCACUACAGGCACAGCACUGGGACAAGGACUAAUUUAUUCAGGCAAACAAGACUGCACACGCCAUUUCCAGAACAAACACGCUGUGCUGGGAUUCAAUUUCACCCCCAGGCAUCUGCGAGGAACCAAAUGAGAAGUUCCAGCCAUUGCAUAUUUAUAUGAUUGAAAGGUCCACAUGGGUCUUAAAGCCCUCCGAUUACACCCCAUGGGGAUGGAAGCAGUGGGGGACCGAGGACCAGGCAGAGCUUGGCGCUGCUGGCUGAGCCAACCCCACAGAGUGGGGAACCUGGCUGAGGGGAGCCCGGUGGGUCUGGCCAGGGUCCAGGGCCUUUUGGGGGUGCCUGGGGAGGGAGAGCUGGGGUUUGGAAUCCACAGGCCUGGGGCCAAGUCCUGCCUCUGCCCAGCUUGCCAGCGGUUGUGUGUGCUCUGAGCCUCAGUUUACCCAUAUGGAGAAGGGGGUGCCAGCAUGACGUUCCCUCGGGCUCGUGCCGUGAGG